Helianthus annuus (common sunflower) is the source of this 678-nucleotide long non-coding RNA. RefSeq lists it as uncharacterized. The record is from RefSeq and is a predicted model, not a curated record. The transcript is spliced from 3 exons. NCBI's taxonomy places the organism in Eukaryota, Viridiplantae, Streptophyta, Magnoliopsida, Asterales, Asteraceae.
UUCACCUAUCUUCUUUAUUACAUAUCCAUCUCCAUUUCUCACAUAUCAUUUAUUCCAACCAGAAAUUAGAGAGAAAGAAAGAAACCAUACUCACCACCAUUGAAGACUUUUUGCAUUUAACAUGGCUGAUUUGAAUAGCCAACAACCUCCGACUGUUGUCGGUGGUACGGGGACACUCAAUGAUCAUCCGGGUUCACCCUUAAAUGUUGUCCCACAUAAUCUUUUACUUGAUUUUGCAUUUAAUGAAGAUAAAGAUGCAUUGGGUGAGAGUAGAGUUGUUGAAGAUCCUGAACUCAUUUCUUCAGAGUUUGCAAAUGAAAAGGUGUUCAUGUGGGAGGAUUGCUACCAUCCGGACAUCAUGGACAGAUGAUAACCCAGGAAGAAGGUUCUAGUCAUGUCCGUUUAAGCUCAGCAACUGCCCUUUCAUUGGUUGGGUCGACCCACCGAUGUGCUUACGGUCAACUGUUUACCCGUGAGCAAGAAAUUCAGAAGAAGAAGAGGGUUAUAUGGUUACUGAUAUUAGCGUUAGUGAUUGGCAGCUUACUUGUUAGCAUUGUUUGUUGUGAUUAAGAAAUAGGUGGUACUUAGUUGGAUUAUCCUUGUUAGUAUGUUAGUGACAUUUGUAGUAUGUACUUGUUUAUGUUUGGUUGAAUCUGAGAAUUUUCUAUGUUAUGGAUU